UCUGACAACAUCUUUCUCUAUUGACCAGGGCCCGGCUCCUCAGGUGGCAAGGUGCUCCGGCGUGCCCCUGCUGAUCUCCUGCUCGUGGAACAACUGCAUCAGCAGGAACACAUGCUGCAUCUGGUUUUGGUUCCCCUCCCUCCCACAAUUGCAUCUUCAGAACACCUGCAUCACACACAUACACACAGUGCUCAGGGUUCAUAAAAAGGGGAACAUCGCACCCCGCACACACCGCCAACCGAAUUCCCACCCUACUGCUUGGGCAGCGCUGUCGCCGUCGUGCGUGGGGGAACCAGCACUGUACCAAGGUCAAGUGCACCAAGCUCAUCCAUUGUGGUUUAGAUCAGCUUUUGCCUUUCCUUGAAUGCUCUUGUUCAUAUUUAUGCAUGUUUCCUGAUUCCCCUUUUCUCAUUUGUGAUGUGAUGCUCAUACGAAAAGGAAGAGUAAGAAGAAAUUUAUGAAAGAUGGUAAAUUGGCAAUAGAAGAACAUGUAGGUGUAGAAGCUGGUUGAUGCUGGCAAUUGGACUCUUAUCUCAGAGUAAAUUAGCUUCAGAUAUCAGAAUAGUACACUGGUUCAGAAAUCAGAAUAACUACUAUCUGGGUGCAACUUGCUGGCAGGGCAGUUAAAUUAUAUAUCUUAUUUUUCAUUGUAUCUUGCUUAUUACUUUUACAAAUUAGUGUUCAAGACAAUCUUCUGUUGUUGCAUUCCAGCAAGUUAGCUUACAGCCGAAGAUAGUUUUUCCAAUCCAAAUGGUGUAGGUCGAACAAAACUUAUGGCUGGGGUAAAAAUAUUUGUGGUGAUCAGCAUCUUCCUCUCGCUUUGCUGUUAAGAUGUCGACGCGGCGCUACGCACCGGAUGAUUUAUACUAUUACCAUGUUUUUUAUGUUGGGUCUGAGAAACUAGAGAAUUCAUGCCUCUUUGCCAUGCCAAGAGUAUUCUAGGGAUUUCUUAUGAAUAUACUGUAUGUAAUAUGGGAUGGCUAUUUUGAUUAAGAGAUCAAUUUUUAUGCAGGUUUAUCUACACUCUUCUCAGCCUGGGAAUCAUCAUGUGCUUGCUGACCUACUCGGGCCACAUCGCCGCUGAAACUGCAAACAGCCCCUGCCUAUCUUGUCACGUGAUCUUUGUAUUCUUGCUUGUGAUACUGGAAGCUGCAAUCGCCACCGAUGUAUUUCUGAAUAGCUACUGGGAGGAGGACAAAUCCCACCAGUCUUGGCUCUAAUUGAAGUUAUCAUAAGAGCAAGUAAUCAGCACUUGUUGUUCUGUUUUCUGAUUCUAUUGAGAAAGCUCAAAAUUUGCAGUGUUUGCAUCGUGGAUGCCGUUGACGGUGGGCAUAAAUGCUACAGUGGAGCUCAUUGCAUCUUUGAGCUUCAUGCUUUGUGUGAACUUGGAACUCGUGCUUUUGUUUGUGAACCUUGUUGGAUAUGUACGCAUGUGUGGACUCGGAACUUAUGGUCCUUUUGUUUGCGAACUAUUGUUGCAUAUGUACGCAUGUGUGGACUUUCGUUGGAUAUAUAUUGCUUGCUGGAUCUUUAUAUUGCUGCAUAUAUAUUGUUGGUCAUUUUGCUUCCUGGAUCAAUAUAUUGCUGGAUAUAUAUUGUUAGUCA
Triticum dicoccoides is the source of this 1605-nucleotide long non-coding RNA. RefSeq lists it as uncharacterized. The transcript is spliced from 4 exons. The record is from RefSeq and is a predicted model, not a curated record. Lineage: Eukaryota; Viridiplantae; Streptophyta; Magnoliopsida; Poales; Poaceae.